GAAACAGAAUACAAAGACUUGUAUAAGGAUUUCUGUCAGCUCAACCAUGCUAUUGAGGAGUUUAUGUCUGAAGAAGAUUAUGCAAAGGACCAACAUACAUGGUUCGAACCAAGAGUCUGCUUAUGUGAAAAGUUCAUUACUGCAGUUAACAAGUGGAUGAAACAAGUUGCAGAAAAUGCUGAGCAAGCAGUACAGUGUGAUCUAGAAAUAAAUCCUGAUGAUAGCAUUUCUUCUGUGUCAGUGACUUCAAGUAAGAAGCAUAAGAAACAUGGGUCAGUAGACGGCAGGUCUACAGCUUCCACAACUUCUUCUGCACGUAUAUCUGCUGAAGCAGAAAGAGCUGCACUACUUGUUAAACAUGCUGCUCUGAAGAAAAAACAAGCUAUUGAAAGACAAGAGGCUGAACUAAAGGCUAAAAGAGAAGAAUUUGAGCUAGAAGUUGCCCUAGCAGCGUCAGAUGCAAAGAUUAAAGUUAUAAAGCAGUAUGAGAGCUGUCGGUCUUCAGCGGUAAGUCACAAAGAAGUAGAUCUGGAAUCAGGUAGCAUAACACCUCAUGAGGAUGUGUUUCAACCUCUUAGGCCACAAUCAACUAAUAACACAGUCCCAAACGAGCCUUAUUCAGGUAGAGAGGGAAACGUAGUUGAUACUUUAAGCAAUGCUGUGGAGCGACAAGCCAAUAUCGCUGAGUGCUUAGUGAAGCAUCAAAAAAUGUCCAUGCUGCCUUCAAUUGACAUACCCACUUUCAAAGGAGAUCCUCUCGAUUAUAAGCUGUUCAUUAGGGCCUUCGAACAUGGAGUUGAAGAUCGUACUGAUAACGAUAAGGACCGUUUGUACUUUAUGGAACAGUACACGACUGGAAAGCCUAAGGAACUGGUUCGUAGCUGUCUUCAUAUGAACCCAGCAGAAGGUUAUCUAAAGGCAAAGCAACUUCUGAGAGAGCAUUUUGGAAAUGAGUAUCAGAUUGCAGUCGCAUACAUGAACAAAGCUCUACACUGGUCCUCUAUCAGGCCUGAAGAUGGGGAAGCACUUCACUCCUUUUCAUUGUUUCUGUUAGGAUGCUGCAAUGCAAUGUCAGAUAUAAGUUACAUGGAAGAGAUGGAUAACGCAGCAAAUUUAAGAGCCAUUGCGGUGAAACUUCCAUAAAAAUUAAGAGAAAAAUGGCGAUCGGUGGCAUGUGGAAUUCAAGAGAAGCAAAAUGCUAGAGUGAAGUUCAAAGAUUUAGUUGAUUUCAUUAACAAGCAAGCAAGGAUUUCUCUUCAUCCAGUGUUUGAAGACAUAAAGGAAAGUUCAACAACUAAAGGACAAGCUAAGUUACAUGCAGAAUCAAGCACUUAUAAAAAGGCUGUAACAAAAAGGGUCUUCACGAUUAGUGCUGUACCGAUUGACAAAAAGGCUGAAGACUAUGACAAACUUUCAGUUCAAAGAUGGCAAAAUACACAUGCCAACAGCCAGAAGAAACCAUGUGUCUUUUGUAAAGGACAGCAGCACAACCUGGAAUUGUGUAAAAGGUUGAGAAGUAAGACACAACAGGAGAAAAUUUACUUU
Molecule: long non-coding RNA, 1545 nt
Filed under: Sinocyclocheilus grahami
Lineage: Eukaryota; Metazoa; Chordata; Actinopteri; Cypriniformes; Cyprinidae
Description: lncRNA (ENSSGRG00000030609.1)
Source: RNAcentral